Molecule: ribosomal RNA, 535 nt
Filed under: uncultured bacterium
Lineage: Bacteria
Description: bacterial SSU rRNA
Rfam family: Bacterial small subunit ribosomal RNA
Source: RNAcentral
AAUAGAUACCCUGGUAGUCCACGCCCUAAACGAUGUGUGCUAGUUGUCGGGCCCUUUAGGGUUCGGUGACGCAGCUAACGCUUUAAGCACACCGCCUGGGGAGUACGGCCGCAAGAUUAAAACUCAAAGGAAUUGACGGGGACCCGCACAAGCGGUGGAGCAUGUUCUUUAAUUCGAAGCAACGCGAAGAACCUUACCUACACUUGACAUACCUCUUGGGACUUUUCAGAGAUGAUUGUUUUUCGGUUCGGCCGGGGAGGAUACAGGUGCUGCAUGGCUGUCGUCAGCUCGUGUCGUGAGAUGUUGGGUUAAGUCCCGCAACGAGCGCAACCCUUAUCGUAUGUUGCCAGCAUUUAGUUGGGUACUCAUGCGAGACUGCCGGUGAUAAGCCGGAGGAAGGCGGGGACGACGUCAAGUCAUCAUGGCCCUUACGUGUAGGGCUAGAAACGUGCUACAAUGGUGGUCACAAUGGGCAGCGAAGUCGUGAGGCUAAGCUAAUCCAAAAAGCCAUCUCAGUUCAGAUUGUAGUCUGCAA